Molecule: ribosomal RNA, 252 nt
Filed under: uncultured bacterium
Lineage: Bacteria
Description: partial 16S ribosomal RNA
Rfam family: Bacterial small subunit ribosomal RNA
Source: RNAcentral
UACGUAGGAUGCAAGCGUUGUCCGGAAUUAUUGGGCGUAAAGCGCGCGCAGGCGGGAUGACAAGUCUAUCUUAAAAGUUCGGGGCUCAACCCCGUGAUGGGAUAGAAACUGUUAUUCUCGAGUGUCGGAGAGGAAAGUGGAAUUCCCAGUGUAGCGGUGAAAUGCGUAGAUAUUGGGAGGAACACCAGUGGCGAAGGCGACUUUCUGGACGAUGUCUGACGCUGAGGCGCGAAAGCCAGGGAAGUGAACGGG